This 77-nucleotide transfer RNA is filed under the name Bacteroidia bacterium. Its description in RNAcentral is "tRNA-Thr". It matches the Rfam family "tRNA". Rfam says of the family: Transfer RNA (tRNA) molecules are approximately 80 nucleotides in length. Their secondary structure includes four short double-helical elements and three loops (D, anti-codon, and T loops). Further hydrogen bonds mediate the characteristic L-shaped molecular structure. tRNAs have two regions of fundamental functional importance: the anti-codon, which is responsible for specific mRNA codon recognition, and the 3' end, to which the tRNAs corresponding amino acid is attached (by aminoacyl-tRNA synthetases). tRNAs cope with the degeneracy of the genetic code in two manners: having more than one tRNA (with a specific anti-codon) for a particular amino acid; and 'wobble' base-pairing, i.e. permitting non-standard base-pairing at the 3rd anti-codon position. Lineage: Bacteria; Pseudomonadati; Bacteroidota; Bacteroidia. The record is from RNAcentral.
GCCCGAUUAGCUCAGUUGGUUAGAGCGUUCCUCUUGUAAAGGAUAAGUCGUCAGUUCGAAUCUGACAUUCGGUUCCA